UGACAUGGAAAGGAGACUACCAUAGUGGGCGAAUUUAUUUGGGGUAGCAAAAUGGGAAAGGUAGCAAAUUUGCUACCUUGGUAGCAGUCAGGCGGUGGGCCCCCAAGGAGUCAAAUGGUACGCGCGUUUGUGGAAGAAACGUUGCCCAGCGCGCACAACUGGAGCGCGUGCAUUGCACACGCCCGAUGUGCGCCUAGGAUUGACGGACUGCGCCUGGCCCACCUCUUUUCUCUCCACUUUUGCUUGUUUUCGUCCAUUUUCUUUCUUUUUUUAAUUUUUUUUUUCAUUUUCC
This 292-nucleotide long non-coding RNA is filed under the name Salvia miltiorrhiza (redroot sage). RNAcentral's name for it is "long non-coding RNA (SMIL_LNC013879)". The record is from RNAcentral. Lineage: Eukaryota; Viridiplantae; Streptophyta; Magnoliopsida; Lamiales; Lamiaceae.